RNAcentral lists this ribosomal RNA (257 nucleotides) under uncultured bacterium. RNAcentral's name for it is "partial 16S ribosomal RNA". It matches the Rfam family "Bacterial small subunit ribosomal RNA", at positions 524 to 776 of the family's 1533-position model. The record is from RNAcentral.
UACGUAGGGGGGCUAGCGUUGUCCGGAAUCAUUGGGCGUAAAGAGCGUGUAGGCGGCCCGGUAAAGUCCGCUGUGAAAGUCGGGGGGCUCAACCCUCGGAUGCCGGUGGAUACUGUCGGGCUCGAGUACGGAAGAGGCGAGUGGAAUUCCUGGUGUAGCGGUGAAAUGCGCAGAUAUCAGGAGGAACACCUAUUGCGAAGGCAGCUCGCUGGGACGUUACUGACGCUGAGACGCGAAAGCGUGGGGGAGCAAACAGG